GAUGAACGCUGGCGGCGUGCCUAAUACAUGCAAGUCGAGCGAACAGACUAGUAGCUUUCUCCUCUGACGUUAGCGGCGGACGGGUGAGUAACACGUGGAUAACCUACCUAUAAGACUGGGAUAACUUCGGGAAACCGGUGCUAAUACCGUAUAAUAUAUUGAACCGCAUGGUUCAAUAGUGAAAGACGGUUUUGCUGUCACUUAUAUAUGGAUCCGCGCCGCAUUAGCUAGUUGGUAAGGUAACGGCUUACCAAGGCAACGAUGCGUAGCCGACCUGAGAGGGUGAUAGGACACACUGGAACUGAGACACGGUCCAGACGCCAAAGGGAGGCAGCAGGAGGGAAUCUUCCGCAAUGGGCGAAAGCCUGACGGAGCAACGACGCGUGAGGGAUGAAGGUCUUAGGAUCGUAAAACUCUGUUAUUAGGGAAGAACAAAUGUGUAAGUAACUAUGCACGGCUUGAAGGUACAUAAUCAGAAAGCCAAGGCUAACUACGUG
Molecule: ribosomal RNA, 497 nt
Filed under: uncultured bacterium
Lineage: Bacteria
Description: partial 16S ribosomal RNA
Rfam family: Bacterial small subunit ribosomal RNA
Source: RNAcentral